This 402-nucleotide small RNA is filed under the name Arabidopsis thaliana (thale cress). RNAcentral's name for it is "ATSL095200". Lineage: Eukaryota; Viridiplantae; Streptophyta; Magnoliopsida; Brassicales; Brassicaceae. The record is from RNAcentral.
UUUACAUUUUAGUUUGAUUGGAUUAAAAUAAAAGAAAUAAUUUGUUUAGUAUAAAAUAAAUACUUGUUAUAAUUUAAAGGAUCAUUUUGUAAAUAAUAAAGUUCACCUUCAAAAAAUGAAGAUGCGAAUAGUGUACCUUGAAAUAUGAAGAUUCACUGUUCAAUUCUUCAUCUACAUAUACAUUUUUGCAGCCAUUUUGUGAAAUAAAUCUUGUAGUUGAGACUUAUUUACAAUGGCUGCCACUAGAUUUUAAUGUUUGUUUUUGAUAAUUAGAAAAAAAAUCUUUGAUUAAAUAUUUGACAUUUAACAAUUUUCCCUAAAUCUCUUCACAUUAACUACACGAUUAGUUACUAAAAUAAAACUUCCAAAAUAUUUAAUAUCAUUUAAUUACUACAAAAUUAU